GAUUUCUGGUUUAAUGCACCUGGCCCGCAGCCAUUUAGGCUUGUGAGUGCCGGCGCGCGUUUACCAUCCUUCUAGAAAACAAUUCUGCCAUUAACUUGGUGGGAUUGCGAUCUAGAUCUUUUACUUUGAAAAAAUUAGAGUGUUUAAAGCAGGCUUUUGCUAUGAAUACAUUAGCAUGGAAUAAUAAUCUAGGACUUCGGUUCUAUUUUGUUGGUUUCUAUAACUGAAGUAAUGAUUGAUAGGGAUAGUUGGGGGUGCUAGUAUUGGCCGGCCAGAGGUGAAAUUCUUGGAUUCGGUCAAGACUAACUUAUGCGAAAGCAUU
RNAcentral lists this ribosomal RNA (322 nucleotides) under uncultured Euglyphida. RNAcentral describes it as "SSU rRNA". The stretch from base 56 to 322 matches the Rfam family "Eukaryotic small subunit ribosomal RNA", at positions 687 to 955 of the family's 1831-position model. The record is from RNAcentral. Lineage: Eukaryota; Cercozoa; Imbricatea; Euglyphida.